Long non-coding RNA from Syngnathoides biaculeatus (alligator pipefish), 761 nucleotides. RefSeq lists it as uncharacterized. The record is from RefSeq and is a predicted model, not a curated record. NCBI's taxonomy places the organism in Eukaryota, Metazoa, Chordata, Actinopteri, Syngnathiformes, Syngnathidae. The transcript is spliced from 3 exons.
UUGCACAAUCCGUGUCACUGACCACUCAGAGGCCAGAGAUCUGCAUAAACCACGCCCCUUUUUGGACCCCCAGUUUUCUCAGACACCGCUGCAUGGUCCAGUAUAGCUUCUGUUGGCGUUUUAUCACGUAUUUUGGUUCUUUAACAAUAGAUAUGGUUAAGAGGUGUAGUCACGGACUUUAUAAUAAUGACGACAGGUAUCCUGAAAGGCUAGUUGGUGGAUUUCAAUUUGUACCCUUUCCAAAACCGAAGACCCAGUACGAAAAAUGUCUUUGAUGGAUCAAACUUUGUGUAAGACCGCAUCAUCAACUGAAUCCAUCUAAAAUCAACCGGAACAGAAGACCGAGUACGAAAAAUGUCUUUGAUGGAUAAAACUUUGAGGAAGACUGCAUGAUCAAGUGAAUCCAUCAACCGGAACAGGUAUGUUUGCACGAAGUUUUGUCCUGCAACUGUGACACCCCCUUCAGUGUGACCUGAAUGGAGGCCCCUUUCAGCAGCAAAGGGUGGGUGUUGAGCUGCCACUGCUCAGUUCGGAUGCCUGGCUUUGCUGACUUAAAUAUAAACUCCACUUGCUGGGUCUCACCUGGAUAGAUGACCCCUAAAGGGAGGAGGAGAAUGAUGGAAUGUUUGAGAAGUUCUGUGGCAGGGGAAGUUGCUGCCAGCUGAAGAGAAGAGCUGUGCUACCCACAUUGCUGAUCUCCAGCUGAGACGAGACCCGCUCUCCGACAAGAGCCUCAAAUAUUAUUGUUGUGAUGAUUCCUA